RNAcentral lists this ribosomal RNA (301 nucleotides) under uncultured bacterium. Its description in RNAcentral is "partial 16S ribosomal RNA". It matches the Rfam family "Bacterial small subunit ribosomal RNA", at positions 509 to 807 of the family's 1533-position model. The record is from RNAcentral.
CAGCCGCCGCGGUAAUACAGAGGGUGCGAGCGUUAAUCGGAUUUACUGGGCAUAAAGCGUGCGUAGGCGGCUUCUUAAGUCGGAUGUGAAAUCCCUGAGCUUAACUUAGGAAUUGCAUUCGAUACUGGGAAGCUAGAGUAUGGGAGAGGAUGGUAGAAUUCCAGGUGUAGCGGUGAAAUGCGUAGAGAUCUGGAGGAAUACCGAUGGCGAAGGCAGCCAUCUGGCCUAAUACUGACGCUGAGGUACGAAAGCAUGGGGAGCAAACAGGAUUAGAUACCCCCGUAGUCCCUGUCUCUUAUAC